This 404-nucleotide ribosomal RNA is filed under the name uncultured bacterium. RNAcentral describes it as "bacterial SSU rRNA". It matches the Rfam family "Bacterial small subunit ribosomal RNA", at positions 355 to 776 of the family's 1533-position model. The record is from RNAcentral.
UGGGGAAUAUUGGACAAUGGGCGCAAGCCUGAUCCAGCAAUGCCGCGUGUGUGAUGAAGGCCUUCGGGUUGUAAAGCACUUUCGCACGCGACGAUGAUGACGGUAGCGUGAGAAGAAGCCCCGGCUAACUUCGUGCCAGCAGCCGCGGUAAUACGAAGGGGGCUAGCGUUGUUCGGAAUUACUGGGCGUAAAGGGCGCGUAGGCGGCCUACCAAGUCAGGCGUGAAAGCCCCGGGCUUAACCUGGGAAUUGCGCUUGAGACUGGUAAGCUUGAGUUCGGGAGAGGUGAGUGGAAUUCCCAGUGUAGAGGUGAAAUUCGUAGAUAUUGGGAAGAACACCGGUGGCGAAGGCAGCCCCCUGGGAUGAUACUGACGCUCAUGCACGAAAGCGUGGGGAGCAAACAGG